Molecule: long non-coding RNA, 1334 nt
Filed under: Setaria viridis
Lineage: Eukaryota; Viridiplantae; Streptophyta; Magnoliopsida; Poales; Poaceae
Description: long non-coding RNA (SVIR_LNC005704)
Source: RNAcentral
CAAAUUAAACCUUCCAUUUGUGUGAAUCCAAAUUUUUCCACAAAGUAAACCUUUCCUUUGUGUAAAUCCAUUAGUAAAGAGCUUAGCCUUAAAAUUCCACUAAGCUUUACAUCCAGUUUCCAUCCUAGAGACUCGUAGUUGUCUCAUAAAGUAACAAACUCUCAAUCACUAGUAUUCCUCAUCGAGUAUAAUUAUUUAUACAUUAUUUCCAACCAUAGUUUUUCAUUAAGAUUUAUUUCCUCCAAACAAAAAACUAGGUUCUUCCUCUAAACCAAAAAUUUAGAGUGUGUUCCCAUGCAAUACAUAAUGAUCAUCCAUAUAUGAUGGUUCAAGUAUUCCUCCCACUUUUCCUAAGCAUGUUAGUGAUGGGAGUAUGACAUAUAUUACUUUCCAGGGGAUACCUCUUCCUCAAUGAGUAUUAAUUCCAAGCGUUAUACUAGAUCUAUCCAUACGUGCUUGCUAUCAUAUUCUUAAUAAUUCCACCAUUAUCAACUCAGAGCAAGAUGAGUGUUGAUAAUAUUGUAUAUAUAUGUUCCACCAGUUUGUCAUAGAAUAACCAAUAGAAAAUGAAAAUCCUGGUGUGUACUUCCAAAAAUUGUUAAACAAUAAAGCAAGGGGUUUCUUCCAGUGCACAACUCAAACGCAGUGGCUGUGAUAAAUUAUAUGGUGAUUGAUCCAAUGAAUAAUAAUAAUUCAUAAAUAUUUGAGUCCUUUGCAUAUACCAUAUAUUGGCAAGUGUAUAGAUAUACAUUAAAAUAAUUCCAUGCUCAUUAUAUAAUUAAAUCAUUCAACAUUCCUGAAGUGUAUCCCCCCCCCCCCCAGUCAGUGAAUAAAUCUUAUAUUCAACUGAUUUUCCACUUCAGUUUAAAUUUCUUCAAACUUCCGACUUGUAUUUUAAGAAGAUAAAUGGAACCAUAUCUAGAAUUAGUAAUCCAUAAAUGUGAUAAAAGUCAAACACUAAUUAGAUCUUUCCACCUUCAGAAAGGCCUUGUAUAUGUUUCACUAUUAUCAAAUUCCUCCCACUUAAAGUUAGUUCCAGAACUAAAGAACAUAAUUCUGUUCUAGAUAUGUGACCAAGUCUCAAAUAAUAUAAUUGUAUUUCGAGCAUGUGUUCCUAUCAAUAGUAUUCCUCACUAUGGAGUUCACAAAUUAAAGAAUCAAUGUUUUCACCAUCCAGAAUACCAUAAAAAAUGAUGAAUUCCAAUAUGCACUAGUUUCCAAUGGGUAAUGUUUAAAAUUUCCCUUUUCCAAAUAGUACCAAAACCAAUGGACUCCAAUUAAGCAACACAUAUAAUUCCUUCACAUGCUAAGUGAGUAUAAAGUGUCAAUUUUCC